UAACAGUUGUUGGUCUUUGGUAAA
This 24-nucleotide non-coding RNA is filed under the name Mus musculus (house mouse). Lineage: Eukaryota; Metazoa; Chordata; Mammalia; Rodentia; Muridae. The record is from RNAcentral.